RNAcentral lists this long non-coding RNA (219 nucleotides) under Lathyrus oleraceus (garden pea). RNAcentral's name for it is "Pisum sativum (pea) long non-coding RNA (PSAT_LNC037943)". The record is from RNAcentral. Lineage: Eukaryota; Viridiplantae; Streptophyta; Magnoliopsida; Fabales; Fabaceae.
UAAGACAAAGAAAAAUUUAUCUAGCAUCCUUCUUAUUAUUAUACCUGACACCCCUCCAAUAUGUACAGUUUUAUCAAAGUAUCCUAAAAAUAAUCAUAUAAUUUUUUUAAAAUUUUAAGGAAACUUUAUGAUUUAACGGAUAUUUGUAUAAGUAUAUCGAAUUUUAAGGAAUAUGUGUUCCGGUACUUUAUUAGAGUUUUUACCAUAUUUAUGUUUAAC